CGGAUGGGAGAAACGGCGCUGAGGCGGAGAGAAGAGCUGGGCGGGUGGGGCGGAGGCUGAGAUCCACCUGAGACUGAGUGUGUGUGACGGGUCGAAGGCCACCCAUCAAGCAUCCUCGGCAGAGUCGGAAGUUGAACCUUGGUUUCCAAGAUCCUGGACCAACACUCUAACAACUACACCACACUGGCUGUCAUAUGAAAUACAGAAACUUGCAAGGACACAUCCAACUGUGCAUGCACAUCCAAGGAAUCCCAACAAGUGGACUGGCAGAGCAAAGCUUUGGGUCUAUGAAUAUGGAAUAUGUGCAUGAUGAUGCAGAAUCCUGAAGACCAUGGGAGCGGGGGGGGGGGGGGGUUA
Eublepharis macularius is the source of this 357-nucleotide long non-coding RNA. RefSeq lists it as uncharacterized. The transcript is spliced from 3 exons. NCBI's taxonomy places the organism in Eukaryota, Metazoa, Chordata, Lepidosauria, Squamata, Eublepharidae. The record is from RefSeq and is a predicted model, not a curated record.